This 10260-nucleotide long non-coding RNA is filed under the name Sorghum bicolor (sorghum). Its description in RNAcentral is "long non-coding RNA (SBIC_LNC010727)". The stretch from base 3960 to 4066 matches the Rfam family "Plant small nucleolar RNA R71". The record is from RNAcentral. Lineage: Eukaryota; Viridiplantae; Streptophyta; Magnoliopsida; Poales; Poaceae.
GAGAGGUUAAAAGAUAGAACAGUCUAGCCAAGUGCCAUGUCUCUUAUUCUUGAUCAGCUAUAGCUCUGGUGUUUUUGCAGAUUUUCAAAUAAAACUCAGAGAUUCUUUGUAUGACUCUCUCAGAUCUCUCUUUUGUGGUAUUUUUGGAUCCUUACCAACCCAGUGAUGGUAUAUGCCUUCUCUCAAGAUAUGUAGUAUUUUUGGUGUAAAGCAUAGUGACAUUGCCUUCUCUCUCACCCUACUCUAAUAAGGCUUUUAUAUCUGGAGCUCAUAGGUGGAAGAUAAAGUAUACAUACUUACAAGACAUUUAUUGUAUAGUCAAACCAUGGAUCCAAAGAAACAAAUCAAUAAGCCAAAUCAAGAUGUGCAUGUGUGGCGAAUGAAUGGUGUAUGGUGAUGAUGGUAAUAACAAUGGUGAAAGUCUAAUUCUACUUUUGCUCUUUUGAGGGGAUACAUACCUUCCUUGCUUUUUGAAUUUAUGAGGAGAAUGAGAUGCUCUCUCUUUUUUUUUCUCAGGUGGGUAUCUUGUACCCCUAAUUCUACUGUCGGACACUUGUCCAUUUUUACCUCUCGUCUCACUUUUUCUUUUCUUUCGAGGUUCCGAGCACUUGCUCCUUUUUAUUUCCUCGUAUCUUCUUUUUUUUAGAGCACUCAUCUCUUGAGAUAAUAUAGCAAGUGGUAGUAACAAGAUAACUUGAGCAUUUAUUUCACAAUGGAAAACAGAAAUAUUUUUGGUUAUUCUCUCCCGGAUUAGGAGUAGAAUAUUUUUAGGUGGUUCUGGAGAUGGAAAUGGAUGGAUAUAUGUGGAUGGUACUUCCGGAGUAGAAGUAGCAUAUAUGAGUGAUCGUGCAAGUGAAUCUUGAUUUAACCACAUGACUAGCUCCUAAGGGUCUACACAGCUUGACCACACUCAAUGCUCAUAAGCAGUAAAUAGUAAAUGUGUGGCUCAAAGUCUAGCAAGCAUGUAUAUAUAGCUGUAGUAGGAAUUUAAACUCUCAUCAUACAAGAACUCAUCAUGCAACAUUUUAAAGAUUUUCAAAGAUAAAAUUCUCCAGAAUUCUAGCAUCUCUAGAAACAGAUAAACAGCAGCUCAGCCUUCCCAUAUCGUAUCCGUUAACAACUUAAACUUCAGAUCAAGUUUUCAUCCCACAAGUUUAGGUUUAAAUUAUAACAGUUAUAUCUAAACUUGAGAGAGAACUUAAAAUGUGCAAAUUAGGCAGAGCAACUAUUCAUCAUAUCCAUGCUUAAGUUUUAUUAAGAUACAGAUUAGCAUAGCCACUUUAUUUAUUUAUUAAACACGCUAAGCAAAAGACAUAUAUAUAUAAGCAUAAAAUCUUUAUUUGGUUUUUUAUAGUUAUGUAUACUUAUAUUCUAAAAUAAUAUAAGUAUAAAGACAGAUAGAAAUACUUAUCGAGAUAAAUGGGGGUGCUCUCCCCCAAGCUGAAUUUUGACGUAAUUUCUCUUGAUGUAGCUAGCUGGUGGCAGAGGUGUAUUUGAAAGUCAGCAGCAUUCUGACAGCGAUUAGAAUGUCCUCCGUCUGCUAGUCUUCUUGAUUCUUAAAUUCUGUGGAGCUCAAAUAGACAACAAAGCUUGUGGAACUUGAUUAAGUGUUAGCAUAAAUAUCUAGCCUUUAUCUUGUUGAGACUCCUUAAUAAUUAUUACUCCCUGUUUUUAUAUUUUCAUUUUUAUAGAGCAGCAAGAAAUAUUUAUUUUAUUUUUAUGCCACCACAGUGAAUGUACUUAUGGGUUUUAUGCCACUCGUCUACUCACAUGGGGCUUACUGUUUUUUCAUAUUUUUAUUUUCUUUUCAAGAUAGCAUGAUUAACUAAUAAUCUAUUUAAGGAAAGUAAAUAAUCAAAGGGAAAAGAUAACUACCAAGUUUACCUCUUGGCAAGGCGUUCGGUGUUUUUAAGUCCUCCGAACGGGACUCUCCAUUUUCUUAAUUGUCCUGAGGUUCGUUGGGUGGCGUAGUCGGUACUUCCGGCAACGCCUCCUCUUCAUGUAUAGUUAUCUUCAUUUUCCACACCUGACUUGGUGCUUCAAUCUCCUCUGGAUAAUUCUGUUUAAACUCUACGUCUUCUGACCUUAUCGCUUCUCCUUCAUAGUCUGCCCAUCCGUCCUUGAUGAUCUGCCUCCUCUGGUUGCGGUUGCGUCUUUUCCUUACCUGCUUAGAUUCUUCAACGAUAUAGUUAGGGUCAGUAAAAUAAUGGCGUACCUUCUCUGAGGGGAAGUGCAUAUGGACUUCUCCGGUUCCAAUGUACAUAAUUGCUUUAACGGUGCUGAGGAACGGUCUUCCAAGGAUAAUGGGUGGAUCGUAUUCAUCUUCUCCCAUGUCAAUAACUUGAAAGUCUGUGUAGACAAAGUGAUCGUCUAUUUUGACUGGGACAUCAGUUACUAUUCCUUUAACUUCUCAAUACAUCUGAUCUGCCAUCUGGAGCUGAAUGUAUGUUGGUCUUAGUGGCAUGGUUCCGAACAAGAGCCGAUAGGUGACUGCGGCCAUUAUGUUGACACCCGAUCCGGUGUCACAAGUUGCCUUGUAGAAGUUGUAUCCAUUUAUGGAGCAAUAGAUGCUUGGCAUUCCUGGGUCGUCCUUCUUGGUCAAAAACGGUGACUUAAGUUGGUGAUCUUGGCCUCCAUGAACUACUGUGACCAUCUUAGCUAACUCAGUCCACACUUGCUUGUUCCUGUUCCUCUUGUUGGUCCUCUUCCUUGAUUCACGUCUGGAUUGAUUUGGAAUUUGUGUACUCUUGUUCUUGAAGAAAAAUGUCUCCUUCCUCCCUUUGACGUAGAAACUGAUCUUGGCAGCACUAGCGUAGAUGAUAGCUCCCGUGGUGUUCAAGAAUGGCCUCCCUAAGAUGAUAGGUGCCCUCUCAUCUUUUCCGGUCUCUACUACUACGAAGUCUGCUAGAGCAUAUAAGGUACCAACUCGGACGCAAAGGUUCUUCAAUAUUCCCUUUGGAAAAGUUAUCGUCUGAUCUGCAAACUGCAAACACAUGGUUGUCUCUAAUAAAGGAUAUGUAAAGAAUUUUUCAUAGAGUACCCUGGGUAUAAUGUUGACACUAGAGCCAAAGUCGCAGGGUGCUUCUGGAACGUCCACCAUGCCGAUGGAGAUCAGGAUGACGGGGCGUCCUGGAUCGCCUCUAUUGACCGGCAGAAGGUCAGUAGAGAAUUCAGUGACGGGGUUACUCCAAUUACCUGCAUCAAACAUGUCUACAAGAUUUGCAGAUUCUAAUCCUUCUGGUUGUGAUGGUAUACCGAGGUUAGUAGUAGGAACAGCAGCAGCUAUUUGAUUUAACUGGGAUUCAAUCAUUUUAUUAAAGCUAAUUUGAUUCUUGAUGGCAGUAGAGAAAUUAUCCAUUCUAUUAUUUAUAUAUUCUAGCAUUUUAUCAUUAGAUGCCAAUUUCUUAGAUAGGUUAUCCAUUAGCUUUCCUUGAUUAGACACUAACUCUCUCAGAGGUGGAAAAUUAUUAUUAUUGUUGUAAGAAUUGUUACCUUGAUAAUUACCUAAGUAGUUAGGCCUCUGUUGAUUCCAACCUUGAUUUUGUUGAGGACGGUUGUAGUAGUUGUUGUUGUUGUUGAUGUAGUUCACAUCCUCAAGCAUCUCAGGGCAGUGGUUGCCUGAGUGUCUAGUGUCUCCACACUCCUCACAAGUCAUGUGAGAGUCGUAGAUGUGCAUAACUUCUUUCUUGUCUCCAGCUCUAUCAUCGAGCUUCUUCAUGAGCAGGUCUAGCUUUGCAGACAGCAUGUCUACCUCCUUCAGCUGAUGCAUAACUCCACCUCUCUUGCGUGUCUGGGUCCUCUCUUCAUUCCAGCUUUGGUUGGACGCCAUCUUCUCCACAGGAGCUGUGGCUUGUGGUAUAGUAAGUGAUAAGAAUGCUCCUCCAGCUGCAGCAUCCAUGGUCUCUCGGGCACUGUUGCCGAGCCCAUGAUAAAACGUCUGCAUCAAUAGCCCACUCUCCAUUCCAUGAUGGGGGCAUUCUAGGAUGUAGUCUUGAAAGCGCUCCCAUGCUUCUGGAACAGAUUCAUUAUUUUGUUGCUGAAAACUUGUAAUAUUCCCACGGAGAGCAUUGGUCUUGCCCAUGGGAAAGAACUUAGCCAGGAAGUUUGUUGAGCAGAGUGCCCACGUAGUAUUCUUCUCCUUUGUAUCGUAGAACCACUGCUUCACUCUUCCUAACAGUGAGAAUGGGAAGAGGCGAAGUAGUAUAGCAUCUUUGGAAACUCCUGAUAUGGUGAAUGUGUUGCAAAUCUCCAGGAAGUGUUGUAAAUGAGCACUAGCAUCUUCGUGUGCCUUCCCACAGAACUGGUUGGAUUGCACCAUGUUGAUAAGUCCAGGCUUGAGCUCAAAGUUGCCGUCGAUCUCUGUAGCAGGUCCAGUGCGGAUGUUGUCCGUAGUGGGAGCGGAGAACUCGCGGAUUGAUUUGUUCGCCAUGGCUUCGAACUCUAAAGACAAGUUCCGGUGAUCUUCUUGAUUGGAUGAAGCUUCUUGCUAAAGUGUUGAUGAUCUCUUCUUGAGCUUGGCUCUCGUCUUCUUGAAUAAUGCUUCGGGAUUGUCAACAAAAUUUCCUAGAAGAUGUCUUCUAUUCAUACAUUCCCCUGCAUAAGAUAAAAUAGAAAAAUAUCGGGGUAAAACUGUAUGAGAGAAUAGAUAAGCUCAAUCAUAUUAGUGAUGCGAAUGAUAACUCAAAAUCUUUUAUUCCAUUCCUGAUUAGUAAUCAACCUUCCCCGGCAACGGCGCCAAAAAUGCUUGUUGGGUAUUCUUAACAUCAUUACCAAAAGUAGACUAAGUUUUCUAAAUCUAGUAACGGUGCCAAAAAUGCCAAACCUAUCCCUCACACCACGUAAGCCAAGUUGUCAACCCUAGCAUGACAUGAGAGACGCGGUAUUGAAAUAUGCAAUUGCUCUACUAAAUAAAUAAUGAAUGGGAUCUGCAAGCGCACAGAUUAAUACCGAUGCAACAUUUUAACCGGGAAGUAUUCCAGGUAUCGUUUUUUAUAUUUUUACCACUAGGAAGGGAUUAGCAAUCAUCAAUAUUGAUUACAGAAUAGAAUAUGAGAUUGAGCAUCUAUCAUUGCAUGUAUAAUUGAGAACAUUAUAUCUAACUCUUCAUACAGGGAUAAGUGUCACAUAAUAGAUAUAUGAAAUAAUAAUAGUGACAAGGAUAACUAAUUUGAUCUAGCCACAUAAUAAAUAUGAUAAGCACCUCAAUUAGAUACUCUAGAAAGUCAUUAGCAUGGUAUUAGAAUGAACUACAAGAAUAUUCCCUAAGUUAUUCUCAACUAUAUAGUCUAGCAUAUCAUAGUUAGUGCAAGCAUACUUAGCAAUCAUUGUGAGACAAGACUACGCCCAUGCAUAGUGAUAUUAGCAAGGAAUAUGAGAAACAUAGCAAUCACUCCCCUGUAAUAAUGUUGCUCUGCCAGCCCAAUACACGAGAGGGGGACUACAUAAGAAUCAAUGAAGCUGUCACUAUCACGAACCACCCCACGAUCUGGCAUAUUGGGUACAAUCGCAGAUAAAUACGGUAUAAGCACCACGCCUACACAAUAUCUAUCAUUUACCCAUGGAUCCGAUGGAUAAACGCUAUACGAUCCUAAGCAUGUAUAUAGAUCCAAUCUAACUAAGCCAAGUACAUAACUAUGAUAAACUAAGAACAAUAUAAUCUUGAAUAUAAGCAAGUAGAGCAAAGUCAUAAGCAAUAUAUUGAAGUAGAACAAAGUCAUAUUCAUAAUAUUGAAGAACAAAGAUAAUUAGAAAGUAAUUAGAAGCACAAUUAGAGAAUUACCAAGAAUCCUCCUGACAGAUCCGGAAACCAAUCGAAGAUUUACUCCUUCUAGCUCUAAUCCUAUGUAGCUAUGCUAAUCUCGAUAUCUAAUUGAUGUGGUGGCUCUAAUCUUGAUCAGAGGCUUCUUCUCCCUUGAGGAACAAUGAAUUAGGGUUGAGAGGCUCUCUCCUCCAGGGGCCAGGAGGUCUGGUUUUAUAGUCCCUUCAAGUGAAUAUGGGCCGUUGGAUCAAACUGACUUAGAUUGUAUGGUUUAGAUUCAUCCUUUAGGUCGGUGGAGAUCUCCCGCGAAGCAGAGUCCUGAUUGGACUCCAGAGGUGGGUGGGCGCCCAAGGGAACAGGGCGGGCGCCCUGCCUCUGGCCCCGUUUCGCCUCCGCUUUGGUCUCGUGGCUUCUGGAGUCUUCUAGAUGUAAGAUAAUUGCGCGGCACGUUAAUAUCUCUAUGUAAUCCCGAUGUGUGGGCCUUUCUUCCGUAUUUCCUGAUAACCCCCUGCAGAAAUAGACAAACACCAAAACUCAUGGAAUUCUGUCAGAUAAAACCCUAAGUCUAGAUGUUGAUUUCAUUUGGAUCCUUUUCUUUAUUUAUUUGAUAAUUAAAUUUGAUACUUAAGGACCGUUAACAUGGAGAAGCUGUCGAGAACUCCACCGAGCUUGCCUCGAAUCUCGAGGCCCUGGCCACAGAAGCCCCAGAGCCCAAGCGUCACGCGGGUAGCUUCGAGCUGGCAGAAGGAACGAAGGAGAUCCCGCUCGACCCCAACGGCUCCGACGGCAAGGUGCUGACGAUCAGCGCUGACCUCGACCCCAAAUAGGAAGCCGUGCUCGUCGACUUUCUCCAUGCAAAUGCUAACAUGUUUGCAUGGAGUCCCUCGGACUUGCCAGGCAUACCGAGGGAAGUCGCCGAGCACUCCUUGGAGAUUCGAGCCGGUUCCAAGCUAGUGAAACACCGGCUGCGUCGCUUCGACGAGGAGAAACGCAAGAUCAUCGGCGAGGAGAUCAGCAAGCUUUUGACGGCCUGAUUCAUCAAGGAUGUUCACCAUCCCGACUGGUGAGCAAAUCCUAUACUAGUUAAGAAAAAGAAUGGGAAAAUGAGGAUGUGUGUCGAUUACACAAGUUUGAAUAAAGCAUGUUCGAAAGUUCCCUUUCCUUUACCACGUAUUGAUCAAAUUGUUGAUUCUACCGCGGGAUGUGAAACCCUUUCUUUCCUUGAUGCAAACUCUGGAUACCAUAAAAUAAAAAAGAAAGAAUCCGACCAGCUCGUGAUGUCUUUCAUUACACCUUUUGGGAUGUACUGUUAUGUGACCAUGCCGUUCGGGCUUCGAAACACGGGAGCGACAUACCAACGAUGCAUGCUCCAUGUGUUUGGUAAACAUAUAGGGUCGAUGGUCGAGGCAUAUGUCGACGACAUCAUCUUCAAAUCAAAGAAACGAGGAGACCUCAUUCAGGACCUCGAAGAUCGCUUUCAGUUGCCUGCGCGCCAACAAGAUCAAGCUCAACCCCGAGAAGUGCAUCUUUGGCAUACCUCGAGGCAUGCUCUUGGGUUACAUAGUUUCCCAACGCGGCAUCAAGGCCAAUCCCAAAAAAGUCUCGGCCAUUACGAGAAUGGGGCCGAUCCGAGACGUCAAGGGAGUGCAAAAAGUCACGAGAUGUUUGGCGGCGCUAAGCCGUUUUAUCUCAAGGUUGGGGGAAAAGGCGUUGCCACUGUAUCGGCUCUUGAAAAAAGCCGAGCGUUUCUCUUGGACCCCCGAAGCCGAGGAAGCCCUCGAUAACCUGAAGAAAAUGCUGACCUCUGCCCCGGUCCUGGUCCCACCUUGGCCCGCAGAGCCUCUACUUCUGCACGUCGCCUCAACGAUCCAGGUGGUCAGUGCGGCGGUGGUGGUCGAAAGGCAGGAAGAAGGACAUGCGCUGCCGGUCCAGAGGUCGGUUUACUUCAUCAGCGAGGUACUCUUAGAGACCAAGGCACGAUAUCCAUAGAUCCAGAAACUAAUUUACGCAGUAAUCCUCGCCCGACGCAAGCUGCAACACUACUUCCUCGGCCACCCUAUCACGGUGGUCUCAUCAUUUCCUUUGGGUGAGAUCAUCCAAAGUCGGGAGGCCACGGGAAGAAUCGCCAAAUGGUCGGUCGAGCUCAUGAGUGAGACCCUCACUUAUGCGCCCCGCAAAGCCAUCAAGUCACAAGCUCUGGUGGAUUUCGUCACGGAAUGGACGGACUCCCAGCUCCCCCCGGCUCAAGUUCAAGCGGAGCUAUGGACCAUGUACUUCGAUAGGUCUCUCAAGAAGACGGCAGCUGGGGCGGGUCUGCUAUUUGUCUCACCCCUCGGCGUCCAUAUGAGGUAUGUCAUCAGAAUACAUUUUGCCGCGUCCAACAACAUCACGGAGUACGAAGCCCUUGUCAAUGGACUGAAGAUCGCCAUCGAGCUAGGAGUUCGGCGCCUCGACGUUGUUGGGUAUUUUAAACGCAAACAGAAAAAAUCCGCAAGCACACAGAUACUGAUGUAGCUUUCACCCGGGAGUAUUCCAGAGUAUUGAUUUUCCACAGGGAACGUGAGUGUACUAAUUUAGAUUCAAGAUCGCCUAAGGAUAACUAUAUAAUUAUUUUUGGUGGGAAGAGAGGAAGUUUCCUGAGAGUUCUCUAGUUCAUCUAAGAAUCAAGAAUUACUUCAAAGAUGAUUUAUUUCAGGACAUCAGAACACUAACCACAGAAAGAGAUGAGAAGGGGGCUAGGAAGCCCUGACUACGGUCCUACAAACAACGAUCCGAACGAGGUGGAAUACGUCGACCAUUAGGGCUCUCACUACCCUAGGGCUACCACAACAAUCCGCAGGAUUGCGUGGAAUUCCAGGUAAUUGCAAGACUAAACACCACGUCUAUUCUAUUAAUUACUACUCUAGCGUUAUAAUGACUAGAGCACUUGGUGCAAGCGGGAAUCCAAUAAAUAACUUGAAUGUAAAUAAAAUUAAUUAAAGAACUCAGGAAUUAUGAAUUGAAGAACUUGGAGAACGAUGAAUGACGAACCAGUUGCUGCAAAAGUACAAUGUAGAGGAAGAUCCGACAGAUCCGGCUCCUCCUCCUCCGCUCUCCUCUUCUCUCUCCCUAUUUUCUAGAUUACAACUAGAACGAACUAGAACUAGAACUAGAGGAACUAGAACUAGAUGAACUAGAACUAGAACUAGAUGAACAAGAGGGAUCCUCUCUACUUGGAUGAAGAAUUGAAACCCUAGCUUUGAUUCUGUAGAAGAGGUAUGAUCUCCAAGGGCCAGGGGGCCUUGCUUAUAUAGUCUUUUCAGAUAAAUCUGGGCCGUCGGAUCAAACCGACAUUAAUCGCAAGGUUUUCCUUGAUCCCUUAGGUCGGUGGAGCAUGAUCCGCGAAACGUGUCCUGAUUGACUCUGGAAGUGGGGGGGCGCCCUGUCCCUGAGCCCUCUCGGCCUCCGCUUCGUUCCCGUGACUUCUGGAGUCUUCUAGAUGAUAAAAAAUUGCACGGCACGUUAAUAUCUCUAUGUAAACCCGACGUGUGGGCCUUUCUUCCGUAUUUCCUGAUAACCCCCUAUAGAAAUAGACAAACACCAAAACUCGUGGAAAUCUGUUAGAUGAAACCCUAAGUCUAGGUGUCGGUUGCAUUUGGAUCCUUUUCCAUGAUUAGCUGAUGGUUAAAUGUGAGCAUUAAGGACCGUCAACAAGCUCCGCCAAGCUUAACCUUUGCUCGUCCCUGAGCAAAGAUGAACUCAAGAGUUUCUGCAAUGGUUUUAUGCCUUAAAGGUACACAUGCGUUCAAACAAGAUCUCAUCUCUGGGUUAGGGUAAACUUUUAAGAUUUAUACUUACUCAUUUUACCUUCCACCAAGGGGCUUGCAAGCGUCACUUGUGUCUUGAGUAGUUAAAAGAUAGAAUGGUCGAAUCAAGCGCCAUGUCUCUUGUUCUUCGAUUAACUAUAGCUCUGGAGUUUUGGCAGAUUUUCAAAUAAAAAUCAGAGAUUCCUUGUAUGACUCUCACUAGUCUCUCUUUUGUGGUAUUUUUGGAUCCUUACCAAGGCAAUAAUGUUAUAUGCCUUCUCUCAAUGUAUGUGGUGUUUCUGGUAUGAGGCAUAGUGACAUUGCCUUCUCUCUCACCCUACACUAAUAAGGUUUUGAUAUCUGGAGCUCAUAGGUGGAAGACAGCUAAUACAUACUUACAUGGCAUUUAUUGCAUAGUCAAACCAUGGAUCCAGAAGAACAAGUCAAUAAGUCAAAUCAAGAUGUGCAUGUGUGGUGAAUGAAUGGUGAUAAUGGUGAUGAUGGUGAUAACAAUGGUGAAAGUCUAAUUCUACUUUUGCUCUUUUGAGGGGAUAUAUACCUUUCUUGCUCUUUUGAAACUUUUUGAGGAGAAUGAGAUCCUGUAUAUGUUCUUUUUCUUUUCUCUCAGGUGGGUAUCUUGUACCCCUAAUUCUACUGUCGAACACUUGUCCAUUUUUACCUCUCGUCUCACUUUUUCUUUCUUUCGAGGUUCCGGGC